UCUUCAGUGAUCAUUCAAAUCCAUCUUCAAAUAGUGGUUUUGUAUGACCUCACUGUCGAUA
This 61-nucleotide microRNA precursor is filed under the name Pristionchus pacificus. Its description in RNAcentral is "microRNA ppc-mir-8345 precursor". The record is from miRBase by way of RNAcentral. Lineage: Eukaryota; Metazoa; Nematoda; Chromadorea; Rhabditida; Neodiplogasteridae.